RNAcentral lists this ribosomal RNA (349 nucleotides) under uncultured bacterium. Its description in RNAcentral is "partial 16S ribosomal RNA". It matches the Rfam family "Bacterial small subunit ribosomal RNA", at positions 338 to 704 of the family's 1533-position model. The record is from RNAcentral.
CCUACGGGGGGCAGCAGUGGGGAAUAUUGCACAAUGGGGGAAACCCUGAUGCAGCGACGCCGCGUGAGUGAAGAAGGAAUUCGGGAUGUAAAGCUCUAUCAGCAGGGAAGAAAAUGACGGUACCUGAGUAAGAAGCCCCGGCUAGCUACGUGCCAGCAGCCGCGGUAAUACGUAGGGGGCAAGCGUUAGCCGGAUUUACUGGGGGUAAAGGGAGCGUAGACGGCAGUGCAAGUAUGGAGUGAAAGGCGGGGGCUCAACCCCCGGACUGCUCUGGAAACUGUACGGCUGGCGUGCAGGAGAGGUCAGUGGACUUCCUAGUGUAGCGGUGACAUGCGUAGAUAUUAGGCGG